GCUGGGCCUGGUGGCGCAUGCCUGUAAUCCCAGUUGCUCAGGAGGCUGAGGCAGGAGGAUGCCCGUUCAAAGCUAGUCUCAU
This 82-nucleotide small RNA is filed under the name Marmota monax (woodchuck). The record is from RNAcentral. Lineage: Eukaryota; Metazoa; Chordata; Mammalia; Rodentia; Sciuridae.